Long non-coding RNA from Cygnus olor (mute swan), 11030 nucleotides. RefSeq lists it as uncharacterized. NCBI's taxonomy places the organism in Eukaryota, Metazoa, Chordata, Aves, Anseriformes, Anatidae. The transcript is spliced from 5 exons. The record is from RefSeq and is a predicted model, not a curated record.
ACCUGGGCUCCAGUUCUGUUAGUGACUUCUGUGUGAUACUAGGCAGAUUUUUUUAUUCAUUUCCCUGAGCAUCAGGCUUCCAUCUACUAAAAGUCAAUGAUCAAAUUUCCUCCGCUUUAAGAUCCUUUUGAUAAGUUUUAUAUACCUCAUUGUUUCUAGGUCAGCCAAAAGAACAGGAAAUACUGAAAUCCUGAAACUCCCUUGAGAUACACUUCUGACGAGACUUCUUGUCCACUUUUAAAACAUGAGUCUUUCAGAUAAGCUUUGGAUAAGCCUCUGAAUUCUGAAAAGUAAAGCUGAACUACUAUUACUCCAUUGUAAUAAUAUUAAUAGUAAUAAUAAUACAAUGGUUUCUUUCAGAAAGGAAGGGAAAAAUCCACCUAAUGAUUAUACCUGUGAUUUCUCACAUCAGGCAGCUUAAAUAUUAGCAUCAUGAAUGCUAACAUCUGUCUACUGCUUGCUUGCUGUGCAGUGGAGGCAGAAGCUGAACAGACUGUCACAGACAGUGGGCCAAAUCCUCAUCUUGGGAUGUGGGAGUUUUCCUACUACAUACUUGAGUGGUAUCUGGAUGAGAUUCAGGGUUCGGCUUGUGCUACAGACUUCCAUAAUGCUUGCAUGGGAACAUCUGCUCUCUAAAAGUGAUUUGAAAAAUAAAUAACUAUGUAAUAACUUGGCACAGCCUUGUUCCCAAUGUGGAGAAGACCACCCUUGUAGAUCAGGAAGGGGGACUUUGAAGCAAAAGAAACCUGGGACUGAUUAAACCAAAGGUCUGUCUAACCCCUUGUCUUGCUUUUUGAAAGGAGUCAGUACCAAACGUGCCAGAGGAAGGUGUAGAAUCCUUAUCAUUAAAAAUUAGACAUCAACAUGCCUAGAGUGAAAACAUUGUUCCUACCCCUGGGCAGUUAAUAAGUGGUUUCUGCCCUCAUGCCUGUAUGGUUUAUUUUAUAAUAAUAUAACUGCAAAUGUUCUUGUUAUUCAUACAUUUUUUUUAAUCCCACUUCUUAACCUUAGUAAAAUCUAUUGUGAGUUCCCAAGGCUGAUUAUACAACAUAUACACGUAAAUUUCCUUUUACCAAUUUCAGAUCUGUUACUGUUUAAUUUCAUUGCCAGUCUAUUCUCACAGACUUUGGGAAAGAGUGAAAAGCAUACAUUUCAUUAUAAAUCUGGAUGUCAGGAAAAAACAACACAAUACUCUGCUUUGCUCUGUCAGUGUGCAUGUGUUUGUAAUGGGAUUAUGCAGUUCAUCAAAGGUAAAAUUUCUGCUUGCUGAAAAUGUGAGCUGCCAUGUUGUAAUUCUGUUCAGGUGACCUCCUUCAUGUCUCUGUUGUCUAGCUCUUGUGUAGACAAAUUAUAUGUAUAUAUAUAUAUAUAUUUUCAAAGGGUAAGUGUCAUUCUGUGCUUGUCUUAUUUUAGUGCUUUUCCUAGCCAUCUGCUGCUGGCCACCACUGGAAUCAGGCAAAUGAGUGAGUUGGAUCUUUGAUCUGACAUUUUAAAACCUUUUAACCUGUCAAUGAUCAUUGAUAAUUAUCCAGUCAUCUUGAUAUUUGUAGAGCUAGACAAGAACAUGUUCUUCCUUUAGAAGGAAGUGAAUUCAUUUUCAGAAGACAGCUGAGCAUUUUUGGACUCCUUUCAGCACUGCUGAAUACACCAACUUCUAGCUGCUGGAGGCAUGCAUUGCAAAUCACUCUUUAAAUCUUAGCAACAUCUGUAAUAAGGUAACUUGGAAAUUGUUUUUAGUCAUUGAGAUUACGUAGUCAUUCAGUAACUUUUGUAAGAUAUAGUGCUGACACUCUCUUUGUGAUCUGAUUUCCUUUCUUUAAAUCAUGUUGGUGAAAAGAAGAGAGAGGGUGGAAAACUACAAGCAUUGUCAGCUGCUGCAUUGGAUAAUUUUCAACCAAUGCCUUUUUAUAUAUAUGAAGAAAAUGAAAGCCAGAAUUUUCAGUUUCAUGCAAGGCAUGAUUUUCUCAGAUAAUGUCUUCUAAUCGUUCAGUCCAGUUCUCUUCGUAGAGUCUCUGCUGCUGCCCACUUGAAAAUAGAAACAACGUUUAGGGAAGGAUCUGCCUAUGAUAAAUAAACAAUGAUUCAAGUUAUGGCAAAACCCAUCACAAUAUUCAGGAAAACAAUAUUCAAGAACAGUGGCUAUCAGUUGUUAAGACAUUUCUUGCUGGUGAGACGUAAGUACGGUAGAGCUGAAGCAUCGAGACCAAGCAAAUUAACAUUUCCUGAGUACUGAAGAUUCAGCUGCAAUGUCUGCUCUGGGAUUUUGCAGUCAGAAGUAACGGACCACCCAGCUGGCUGUGGAUCUAAUCCAGUGGGUUUAGCUAUACUCAGUAGCUCAACUUUGAUGCUGAAGAAGUGGGGAAAUGUCUAGAAGUGAACCCAGUGAUGGAUGUGUGGCAGAUGUCUUGCUUUCUCAAGAGUGAUUCAGUUACAAAGAGAUUGGUGAUCCCUGUUCUAGACAACAGCACUUCUCCGUUUAAAGACAGAAGUUCCUAUGCUUGUAAAGGAGACCAGGGGCAGGGAGGAAAACAUUGUUUGUUACAUGUUCAAGUUUUUAAGAUUUGCAUAAUUUUCAGAGAAAUGGAACAUCCAGAGGCAGUGAAGUGGCAGAAACCACAUCAAAAGAGAAGGGAAAUUCUUAGUUUUAAGUGCAGAAAAAGGACAGGAACUGUAUCUUCCAUCACUGCAAAAUCAAGAAACUAUUGUUCUCAUGCCUAGUAUCAGCCUUCUCUGUGAUGAGAGAAGAUAUUAUCCUCUCCUUCUGAGACAUAAGGCAGAGGGAAGCUGUGGCUGAACACAAAUGGAGCAGAAGGCUCCUGAGCACUCAGUCAAUGUCUUUACCACAAAACUGUCCUUUUCAAAAUAAACGGGCACAAGUCAUUAUGACAAUAACAUGAGAACUUCAGCUCCUGUUGUUUCUUGUUCAGGCUUUCCUGUAACAAUUAGUUCAUCUCUUUUAAGUGAAUUGAUGACAGCCAAUCACAAAACUGACCUUAUUUAAAUGCUUCUUGGUUCCCUUAUUAUCAUCUGAAAAAUCUGAUUAUUCAUCCAACCAUGGGACACUACACAGGAGAGGCAGAUCAAACAACAGUCUUCUAACUCUUUAUAUUUGGCCACUGGAAGGCCCAGACUUUCAAACAUAUCUCCAGUUUUGAGCACAGGAAAACUAAUGGUUAUUUUAACAAAUGACCCACAUCUUUAAUAAAUAAUUGGGGAUUAUUAAUUGAAAAAAAAUAUUUAGGAAUAUUUUCAAAAGAGGGAAAGUAUUUACUAUAUUAUACCUGAAGAUGGGUGGAUAAUUUCCACUUUUCUCCAGUGAUUCCUUGUAAAAUGUCUUCAGCUCCUUUUUUUUUUUUUUUUUUUUUUCCCCAUUUUUGGUAACUUUUUGUGAAUAAAAAUGAGAAGCUGAUUUUUGUUAUUAACAGUUGCAAUCAUGCUUAACCUUGCAGAAAACCUGAUGCCUUGUCACAUUUUUGCUGAAAUCAUGUGUUUUGGGAAAGAAAGUUCUACCAGAACCAUUUUUCUCCUCUGCAGAGAGGAAAAAUUGUUCUCCACCAGCAGGCAUUGAUUGACAGCCUUCUGAUGAGAGAAAAUUACAGCUAAGUUUCAAAAAGUGGGAGGUGGCACCUGCGGCAUGAUUCCACUUGAGCCUCUCAACAGCCAAAGAAAUGGUCAAGCUCUCAGCCAUGCACAGCAAUGCCAAGCUGGUGUGAAGCAGUCUCCCAGCAUCACAGAAGAGCAGCUGCUGAGAAGGAAACUGGAGAAGGAUGAAGACAAAAAGUACAAUAGGAGGAAUCUGUACAGCUAUUUGCUUGGACACAACACCGAAAAGGCAGCUCUUGAAGGGAGCUCUUAAGAUUACUCAGUGCUGUGAAUUUCAUUUUGGACAAGCAUGGAUUUCAGUUAAUGAUGGAAAUGUGCACAGUGUUGAUGCCCUCUCUAUUACUGAACUAAACAAAGCCACUGGUCUCUGAAAGCAAUGAUAGAAGUUACUCCAAUCUCCACAGGGAUAAUUAGAAUCUCUGCAUUGGCCCUUGAAGACAAUAAAACAAACAAACAUACAACAAUGACAACAACAAAAACACCCUGUCUCAAAAAUGUUCUGUCCUGGUGUGUGUGAAAUGCUCAGAGCUGCUAAAAACUUUUGAUGAUUUCACCCACAGAGACUGCUCCAUGUGAAAGAACUGAAGAAGCCUACAUUUGGAUCUACCACCCUUCUGAUUCACAACAGGACUUUCCAUAUUCAAAAUUGUACCACAUUUCUGCUAUGUUGCUCCUUUUUCUGGUUCUAAGUCCUAUGCAAGAAACAUUCUAGGACAUAUUGUGUUUCCUUUGAAAUACUUGUUAUUACAGGUUAAACAAAUUGCUUUUGGUCAUAGAAGUUCUAUCCUCCCGACACUGCAAAAAUUCUGUCAUGUACACUAUGCCUUUUUCUUGGAGUUUCCUAUUUUUAUGGUUUGCAAUAUAUAUGCAAGGUACCAGAAAUGGCUAAAGCACAACCGGUAAUUUUAAAUGCUGCACAUGUUGUGUAGGUUUAUCUUGCAAGUAGCUGCCAAAGAACACAAGAGUGAAUAUAUACCUUCCCUAAUGAGAUAUGAUAUUUAAUUUUAAAAUGUUCUUUGGAAAAUGGUGUUUAUAUCAAAUAUUUGUAACUGAGUACUUUGCAGGUUUGAAGUCAGUGCCUUUUGACAAAUUUUACCUGUGGGUGUGUUCCACAUGAAAGAUGCCAUAGAGGACGGUGAGCACAGCUCGCUUGUUCAUCAGAUCUGGUUUCAUCACAGGUCCCAGGCUUACAGGUCCUUGCCUCUCUGCCUACCUAUGUGUGUAUCAACAUCUCUCAAAGAGCUAUAAUACACUGAAGUACUUUAGACUGCUUUGUUCACAUAUACAUGUCGCUUUGGGGGAUGAACUGACUAGCAGUUAGUUCAUCUGAGGCAACUGAAGCCUGAAAUCUAAAUAAAAAGAGAGUGCUACACAGCUCUACCAAUAGGAUCAUAUGCCUUGAUGCUUCUCUGUAAAACUAUGCAUUUGAUUCCCAGCUGUUUGCAUUAUUGAUGUCUAUGCUAGGGAGCUUUUUAAACAAUGCUGGGGAAAUUGCCUGUGGCAGAGGAAGUGUGAGCCCAUCUAAACUAGCUGUAUGACCCACAGCUUAGGAGAGCACUUUUAGGAAAAUGUGGACCGUGGCCAUGGGCCAGUAACACCAAAAGCUGCAAAGUUUGCCUUGCCCAGCUACGAAGUAAAAACGUGUGUAAUUGAGAUUGCUGGGUCUUGAGAACUCCUGAAAAAGAAGUGCAGAUGGUACAGUUACCCGGAGUACAGGAAUCCCUAAAGAAAGGCUAACGUGUUUGGCUGUCUUUGUUACACAGAAACAAAACAAAACAAACAAACAAAAAGAAAAAAGGGAAAAAAAUGAAGCCUUUUUGGCAGGAGAGUAAAUGUGUCAUUGGGUAAGAAUCCUGCAGCUGGCUAACACUGUAGCUGAGAAAGUUAAUUACAUACAAGAAGAUGUCAGGAUAUAGCUCAGACAGCAAGCGGGAAUGGAGCAGAGGUUUGGACAUGGCAGUUAGCAUUCCCUCGGCAAGGAUGUGCUGAGUUUGCAUGCACAGCCUGGGCAAACGUCCUGGCUGGAGGAAUCCAGCCUGUGGCAUGUGGGCAUGGAGUCUGUGGGCAUGUGCACAGAGCAGUUGUGGCUAUUUAGAGACAUGACUUGUGCCAACUGAAAGAGGUUGGAUCUGGCAUUUGGCAUUAAGGCUAGCUCUGCUUUUAGUCAUUCUGAAGUGCAAACAAAUACUCAGAUACUCAAUAUUGAAGUGUCCAAAAGUGCAGGACUGCAAAACUGCAAUAUUGCCUUUGUUUUCUAAUUUUAGAAGAGAGGAUACACUUCCCUCCUGGUACUACAGCAUGGCUAAAAUCAAGAAAGAUCUGAGUAAAUCUUACUGGACUAUGCUCUGUGAGGGUGGGCUUCAGCUCCAGCUUUAUUCAGGUUUCUGUACAUGAACUGGUGUCUGAGGACUCACUGGAAAACUCAAUAAUAAAGUCAAUGGGGCCAAUAUCGCUCCAUUGAUUUGGCACUAUUGCAGAUACUUCACAAUGGUCGCAAUGAUUCCAUCAACAUCCAUACAACUGCUUAUGCAUGGGCAUUUAAUGCUCCAUGGCAUGCUGGCUGGCUUCCAAUGGCUGCUCCAGCAAGGCACCGACCUCUUGCAGGUCCUGUGAUGUAUUUGCCAACCCCAUUUAGAUCCCUUGGAUGCCACAGGACAUCUCUAAUGAAAAAGCCUUUGUUUGGGCAACAGAGGAAAUCUUUAUUGAUUGUACUAACUAGACCACUGUUGACUAUAAUAUCUAAGGACCAGUAAGGAGUACAACACGUUGAGUAGAUGUAGACAGCUAUUAACAAAAACAUUUUGGUACUGUCUUUGGAUGCUGAAUGGUCUGGAUAGCACCCACCUCACUUCAGAAGGCAGUGCACUGAACAGCAUAUAUUAGGAAAGUGCUUAGGUAAGGGCUAAAUAUUAAGUGCAAAGACUCACUGGUACUCCUGAUACCCUGCAGGCCCAUCCUGUGGUAGCUUCUGUACUAUAAGGCAAGGAAUUUUAUUAUUUCAGUGCAUUUUCUCCUUCCUUGAGGAAACGUGAAGUUUGUCCCUUAAAUCAACUUCUAAAUUUCUAGACAGGCAAAAGCAUUAUUUAUGACAAAACAAAGCCACAGUAAAAAAAAAAAAAAAAGACAAACAUAUGGCUAAGCAUUUUAACCUUAGCUAAACACUGUAAAUUUGUUAGGAGGCAAAGAACAAAUAUUUAUGUUUGUUUCUGCUUGUUGCUCUCACGGAAUAUGGUAGGCUGAAUGGGACGUGGCACAGCAACAGCAGGGAAGAGCUGUGGCGCAGUGUGGCUGGAGCAGGUCCCAUUAAAGGAAAGAAAAGGUCCAGCUGCUUGUCCAGUCCAGCCAGACACUGAAGUUUAGUCCUCCCUUACCUUACUAUAGCCCUGCAUUUGAGGUCCAUAGGCAGAAGUCCACGAUCAAACCAAUAACUAAUGAUUUGUUUUCCUUGUACAUGUAUCUUUUUGUAUCUGUAAAUCAUAAAUGCUCUUCUCCUCAUACACUUGCUUGCCACAUAUGCCCAGCUUGGAUACUAAUGCUCUUGACCUUGGCUUUGUCCAGUUUGGAUCUGUAUUUUAAAUGGUAUUUAAAAUCAACAUCUUAGGGAAAACUAGAAUGUGUCUCCUACUGUAAAGCAACAUAUAGCGAAGAGAUACCUGAUCUAACUGACCAGAUAAGAUUUCCAGAUGAAGCAGAAUAGCGUGGUGCCAAUUUUUCAGUUCAUGGUUGUCUGCUAAGGGGAGUUCUAGCAACUGGAAUCCAGGUUUCCCAACCGUUAAAUUAGUAUUUCAGAAACUAGAGAGUAAAUGUUCAUAACCUGCAUGAGAGAUUAUUUGGAUUCAAAUGGUUCAUAUUCUCUUUGUAAUGCUUUUAGUGUAUUUACCUGAAAAGCUUUUAAAGUUGACAAUAAAGAUACCAAAUUAAAUCCUGUCAGUACUAAAGCUAAUGCCAACCUCUUCUUGACUUUUCCCAGGGCCAGAAUUUCACUCAUUAUAACAAGUUUGUUUUAUUUCUGUCUUGCUGGCAAAAGUGAUAUCCCAUUAUGACCCAGUUAGCAUAUUUUUCCAUCUCUAGAGCAGAGAAUGUUUCCCUGAAGUUGUUCUGGGAGGAGCCAUUCUGGGACCACCUCUUCCCUGUGUCUGGAACAAAGGCUUGGGAUGCUCAUCUGGUACCACCAGUAUGAUGAAGCCCUUAUGUGUGGUCCAGAUCCAGGCUAUGGGGUGGUUAACGAGAAGAGGUGUGCCAGACUGAGAAGGAAAGAGAUCCUUGUACAUACGCACCCUGAUGACCCAUUUCAGAACCUGGAUUUGAAGUUAAGCAUCUGAUAUACAGCUAGUACUACAAAUUUGUAGCACUCAUUUUACUGGCCUGUUUAGGUCCCCUAUAGGGAUGGGAUGAUUAUCACCCUGGAAGGUUAUCCAGGCACCAGAGGAACAGCAGCAAGCCCCAGAUAAACUGUUUGUUGUUGUUGUUGUUGUUGUUUUUCUUUCUGUUUUCUUCUGUUCAGUCAUUUUUGUCGAAGAUUUUCUUUUGAAGUUCAUCAUGUCUCUCAUCUUUCCUAUGUAUGCAAUUUCUAUGCAAAAAGAGCCAGAAAUUAUAUCCAAAUGAUAUUCUGUCCUGUGCAGACAGAAGAGAGAGUUUUCUUUCAUAAAUAGAGCUGAGCUUUUAAUCCAGGUAUGCUGCAAUAUUUUAGGAUGAAAGGUAGAGAAGUAAGAAGCAAAGAACAGUUCUUAGAAUACAGAAAUAUUUUUCCCUGCUAAUUUUACUUUCUUGCUGCUUUAUGUUUGAAAGCCAAAAAAUGUGAUAAGAAAAAAUACAAGCAAAAGCCAAAUGCUAUCUGUCCUAAUUAAACAAGCUGCCAAAAAAAUACAGAUGGAUGCCCCCAAAAAUCCAUACUCUGCAUUGACAAUAUCCAAAAACAAUAUUUUACCUCAUGUUUCCAUUAUUUCCCUUUACAACCAAAAACUGUGUUUGGGAACACACCCCUUUCUAUUGCUCCUUGCAUAGCAUUUAUCAAAUGUCUGUCUACACUGCAGUCAUUCCUGUGUUUGAACCUCACAUAGACAUGGCUCUAAGAUUUCAGUGAGCUAACCUGGGUACUGCUUGCAAGAAAGAUGUGAUACCACAGGACUCAGCUUGGGCAUGCCUACCGAGUCUCUAGGUUUUCCCAGGUACAUUUAUUUUUCAUCUUGGAUUUCUCUGAAGGUGCGGUUUGAGGAAAGAUAAUACAUGUCUAGGCUGACUGAUAGCUUAUGUAGGGCAGAUGAUUUUAUCAGACUGCUGUUCAUGUGGAGACACUAGACGUACUAUUAGUCAUAUGUCCAAGACUUCAGGCAACUGCAUGCACUAUGGUGGCCCUACACAGCCAGCCCCGCACUGUGCAACUGCCCAGGUUCCAGGAAACAUUGGCUAAACCCCUUGAACAUCCUCUGCUCAUGUGGCCUGCACAUGCAUCGGAAGUUAUAUGCCUCCUGUGCACAUCAGAUUUACUACUUGUGCACAGAAAAAAUAAGUGUAUUGUAAGUCUGAUUCUCAUGGAUGGGUUGCUUUAGUUGUCUGCUCACAGUUUACUGUGAGCAGAACACUAUAUUUUGAUAAAGUAACAUGACUUUGGACUGUCAUAUAAGUCUAUCUGCUUAUGAUGCAGAGGGGUUCAUGCAUAAUUCACCGGGCAUGAGAAACGGGGCAAAUGCCUCUUUUCUGACAAUGAACAGAGAGCUGAGGGAGACAUCCAGAGUCCAAGCUGCCAAAGCAGGGGCACAGCAGGCAGUGAGUGUGCAGCACCGCCAAAGCCCUCAGGGUUCCUUGGGGCAGCUGCAUGCCAGCUUGCAUGAGGGAGCCCACCCAGAGCUCCUGGGGAGCUUCUGCAAAAGUUGCGGCAAUGGAAGAAGCUAUGGAAAGUUGCUGGACUGGAUAGCGAAGCUGGAGGAAAGGACUCGUGCUGCGAAAAUAUGCUGGGUUAGAGGAGGGCUUUGUUUUCAAACAUUUGAUUUUAAUCUGUUUCACUCAGCAGAUUUAAGUGCUUUAUUUUUGAAAAGAUUUCGUUUUUCAUUCUAGAGACUGCAAGCCCUUUUGGUGGCUUUGGUAUGCUAACCUUACAGGGGAGGUGGGACAAUUGUCCCUGAAGUUCUGGCCUCGUACAGCUGUCCGAGAAACACAGUCCACUUUUAUUAACACACUUCUGUUCUGUUGUGGCAAUCCAAAGCUAGGACUCCAGAGCCUGCCCAAGUAGUGAGAUGAGUAGUGAAUGGUUUUCCUAUGCCAAUUCCACACUGGUCCCUUCACUGAACUGAACUUAGCACCUGAGUUAUUUUCUAGGUUCCCUCUGCAGUCAGUGAGAGGAGAAGGACUGACACAGGCACCAAGCGAGCCCUUGGGACAGCUGUCUGAAAUAGGUGAGCCAAAUCCUUACCUGCACCUUUCAGCUGAUCCUUGAGGGAGAUGAGAUGAAAAGAAAAGCUUAGGCCUCACUAUCUGAACCAUAUCUACUGAUAGCUGAAAUUAGGUGAGGUGAAUGUUUUAAGAAUCCGUUGUGGGUUAGCUCUGGCAGGCAGUUAGGUACUCCUCAGCUGCUCGCUCACACAAUGCUCAUGUUUGUGAAUGAAGGACAGAAGGACAUGAAACCUUCUAUCAUUAACAUUAACACUUCUAACAUUAAAGAGAAUAUCUUUUUCAGAGAGGCUGUCCACAUUCUUCAUGGUCCCAAGCAGCACCAGGGAGAAUGCACUCUAGGCUACCAUGUGCUCAUUUGCAAUGUGUUGCAUGUAUGAAUGGAUCAGAUAACUCCAGAGAAAAAGGUCAAUAGUAACUGGGGGAAGGGAGCAAAAAACUGAGAGGACAGAUUUAUUAACAUUUAGAACCAAAUGUAAUUUAUUGGAAUGGAAUUGCAUUAAUUAUUCCUUUUCUGAUUAUUAUGCCGGUAGGAUAAAAUUACUAUUUAAAUGGCAUGUGAUGGACUCAAAAGCUAAAGCAAACCUAAAUAAAAAUAUUUUCUUGUUAAUUUGGUGAACUGUUUACAUAAAUGUUAAAUUUUCUGCACUAGUCUCUAUUGUGCACAAUUUCAACAUUUGUCCCAUACUCCAAAAUUUAUAAUUAUCUCUGUGUGCUGUUCUGGCCUAAAUGCAUUUUUCUAUUGACAUGGUCCAAAAAUGUAAUAUUCACCAUAAAGUUUGUCCUCUGUAGAGUUCUGGACUAUAUUGCCCUGGUCCUACUCCUUUAUUUCUUUGCUCUUCAUUUUUCAGGCAGAUACAUUCAUAUAUCUCCGGUCUUUGCUUACAUCCAAAUUUCAAUAGCUUCCUAUAUACUUUUCUGAUACUCUCUGAUAUUGUUAUUACCUGCAUUUUAAUACAGGCAAUUCAGUGAUUUAAUUAAAUGAAUUUUUGCUUCACUGCAAUAAUCCAGGCUAAUGACUGCUUAUGGAUUCUGAUUCC